Molecule: non-coding RNA, 109 nt
Organism: Acanthosepion pharaonis
Lineage: Eukaryota; Metazoa; Mollusca; Cephalopoda; Sepiida; Sepiidae
Source: the annotation of a GenBank genome assembly
UCACAUCACGUUGAAAAUACCGAUUCCCGUACGACCAAUGAAUUUAAGCAAUAUCGGGCCUGGUCAUUCGCUAGAUGGGUAACCUUUUGGGAAUACCUGGUGCUGUAAG